Malaclemys terrapin pileata is the source of this 855-nucleotide long non-coding RNA. RefSeq lists it as uncharacterized. The transcript has 3 exons. The record is from RefSeq and is a predicted model, not a curated record. NCBI's taxonomy places the organism in Eukaryota, Metazoa, Chordata, Testudines, Emydidae.
GAAAAUAUGGCACCCAGAGAAGGAACAUUUUGUCCAGUUGCAUCUGAUUUUGUUCUCUAAGCCUCUCUGCUUAGGAAUGUGGAAGAUGAAAGAACAAUAAUACAUCUCUGGACACGCGGCCAGGACAGUGCUGCCUUGAGAAAAGUCAGGGCUGAUUAGCUAAUUCCUGCAUUUUCUGUGCCGUUGUGAUUCUGAAUUCUUUAAGCCUGGACAUAGCUUAAAGAAAAUGGAGCUGGCUAAUGCAUUGUGCUAAAUGGCCUUCUGCCUGUUUCCUGAGCACAGAGGAGCCGGAUGCUGUGAGGUGCUGAGGACACGCAAUUUUCACAGGUUCCCAGAAGGCACUCAGCGCUGUGCAGGAUUGUGCCCUGCUGUAUUAUCUUCUAGCAUCAUAUGUCUGCUGCAAAACUUCUGCAGAGUGCAGCUUCCCCAUAAAAAUGUGUGAACUGGAAGGACAGAAGUAAAGUUUGUAAAUCUUCAUGGUAUAAGGUAAUCAGUUUAAAGGAAUGUAUCUGCUGGACAAUCAGAGGAGCUACUCCAUUCCUAUGGAUCCCAAAUCAGAAUUCAACAUAUGUAUUUUAUACUAAUAACAUUUUAUCAAAGUAUUAAUUAAAUGUUAACUUGCUAACUUGAGACCAUGGGCGGAGACAUUAUGUAACCUGUUAACCAUUGGCUAAUGUGCUAUCUUGUCUUGCUGCAAAACCUAUCCUGGGGUGUGGAACUGCCUACCCCAUCACUUUCCCCCGUCCAUGGAAAAUCUAUAUAUUCUAUUGUAAUCGAUUGAUUGGCAGUGUCUCUAAGCCUGAUAAGCAAGGUGACACUCCGCCAGCGCUGUGUGUAAUAAACUCCUAUGCUUGA